CCGACGGUGAGGGGUGAAGGCUGGGGGCGCAAACCGGAUUAGAUACCCGGGUAGUCCCAGCAGUAAACGAUGCCAGCUAUGUGUUGCUGGAACCAUGGGUUCCAGCAGUGCCGAAGGGAAGCCGUGAAGCUGGCCACCUGGGAAGUACGGUCGCAAGGCUGAAACUUAAAGGAAUUGGCGGGGGAGUACCACAACCGGUGGAGCCUGCGGUUUAAUUGGAUACAACGCCGGGAAUCUUACCGGAGGGGACAGCAGUAUGAAGGCCAGGCUAAAGACCUUGCCAGAUCAGCUGAGAGGAGGUGCAUGGCCGUCGCCAGUUCGUACCGUGAGGCAUCCUGUUUAGUCAGGCAACGAUCGAGACCCGCAGUCUUAUUUGCCAGCAUGCCCUUUGGGGUGUAUGGGUACAAUAAGACGACCGCCAGCGCUAAGCUGGAGGAAGGAGCGGGCUACGGUAGGUCAGCAUGCCCCAAAUCCUCCGGGAUACACGCGGGCUACAAUGGUCAGGACAAAAGGUACCGACCUCGAAAGAGUGAGGUAAUCCACAAACCUGAUCUCAGUCCGGAUCGAAGGCUGCAACUCGCCUUCGUGAAGAUGGAAUC
Molecule: ribosomal RNA, 599 nt
Filed under: uncultured archaeon
Lineage: Archaea
Description: bacterial SSU rRNA
Rfam family: Archaeal small subunit ribosomal RNA
Source: RNAcentral